RNAcentral lists this small RNA (652 nucleotides) under Pan troglodytes (chimpanzee). RNAcentral's name for it is "retained intron". The record is from RNAcentral. Lineage: Eukaryota; Metazoa; Chordata; Mammalia; Primates; Hominidae.
AAGUCCACGUGCCCACUGCUUACCCUGCCCCAUGCUUCAGGGUGGAGUGGGCGCAGGCACGCCAGGCCUUCUUUAGCUCUGGAAAGAAUAAGGCUGCCUUGGAGGCCAUCGAGCGUGCCGCUUUCUUCGUGGCCCUGGAUGAGGAAUCCUACUGCUAUGACCCCGAAGAUGAGGCCAGCCUCAGCCUCUAUGGCAAGGCCCUGCUACAUGGCAACUGCUACAACAGGUGGUUUGACAAAUCCUUCACUCUCAUUUCCUUCAAGAAUGGCCAGUUGGGUCUCAAUGCAGAGCAUGCGUGGGCAGAUGCUCCCAUCAUUGGGCACCUCUGGGAGGUAAUGGCCUUGCAGAGGGAACCUGCAGGGCAGGCUGUAGGGGAUGAGGCCAGCCUCUCAGUCUCAUCCUCUCCCUGCAGUUUGUCCUGGGCACAGACAGCUUCCACCUGGGCUACACGGAGACCGGGCACUGCCUGGGCAAACCGAACCCUGCGCUCGCACCUCCUACACGGCUGCAGUGGGACAUUCCAAAACAGGUGGGUUGGAAGCUCCCAGAGCAGGUGUGAGACCACAAAGCAGCAGGUGGGUACAACCCCGACAAGGCCUGAGCCUCCUCCUCCCCUGCUGGCCCCACUGCCUGGCCCAGCCCUCAGGAAGGC